This 233-nucleotide unclassified non-coding RNA is filed under the name plant metagenome. Its description in RNAcentral is "partial contains small subunit ribosomal RNA, internal transcribed spacer 1, and 5.8S ribosomal RNA". The record is from RNAcentral.
UUUCCGUAGGUGAACCUGCGGAAGGAUCAUUAUUGGAUUUUGAAACUUCAGGCUGCUGCUGGCUCUCCUCGGAGGGCAUGUGCACGCUUGUUGUCCAUUAUUUCUCCCACUGUGCACAAAUUGUAGACCUUUCAGUAGGCCUGUGCUGUUUUUCACAAUCUCUGAAUGUAAUAGAAUGGUUUUGAAUCUUGGGAAAUACAAUACAACUUUCAGCAACGGAUCUCUUGGCUCUC